UGCCAGACUCCUACGGGAGGCAGCAGUGGGGAAUAUUGCACAAUGGGGGAAACCCUGAUGCAGCGACGCCGCGUGAGUGAGGAAGUAUUUCGGUAUGUAAAGCUCUAUCAGCAGGGAAGAAAAAAUGGCGGUACCUGACUAAGAAGCACCGGCUAAAUACGUGCCAGCAGCCGCGGUAAUACGUAUGGUGCAAGCGUUAUCCGGAUUUACUGGGUGUAAAGGGAGCGCAGGCGGUACGGCAAGUCUGAUGUGAAAGCCCGGGGCUCAACCCCGGGACUGCAUUGGAAACUGUUUAACUGGAGUGUCGGAGAGGCAAGUGGAAUUCCUAGUGUAGCGGUGAAAUGCGUAGAUAUUAGGAGGAACACCAGUGGCGAAGGCGGCUUGCUGGACGAUGACUGACGCUGAGGCUCGAAAGCGUGGGGAGCAAACAGGAUUAGAUACCCGGGUA
RNAcentral lists this ribosomal RNA (448 nucleotides) under uncultured bacterium. RNAcentral's name for it is "bacterial SSU rRNA". It matches the Rfam family "Bacterial small subunit ribosomal RNA", at positions 329 to 792 of the family's 1533-position model. The record is from RNAcentral.